UGCCGCCAUGUUUCCUGAACACAAAAUGGCGACACGUGGUUAGCAUUCGUCGCCAACGAGAAAUUGGGGUCGGCCCGAAAGCUCUAGAAUGCACCCCCCUUCUUCCCCGGGGCCUUCCACCUCCGCGAGUUUUAUGACUUAAAAAACCCCACAGGCUGGUCUGAAGAGGAAGACAAACAUAAAGAUGAAGUGCUUAAUUCAAGGUCACACAAUGUCGGGGAUGGACCUCCAGAUUUCCUUACUGACCUGCAUUAUCUUGUGGAUACCUGAGUGAAUUCCACACCACCCAUUUUAUAGAUGAAACCACUGAGACAUGGAGCAACUGACUGAGUAGUCACUGCCCCACCCCUGCCUGGAGCCUCACACAUGACUCGUCUCCUCUCAGUGACCACAGGUUGGUUGAGGGGUUUAACAAGGCUAAGAAGUACUUAUCCUGUAUUACAUGAAGGAAAUGAAAUAAAAAGACUGCAACCCCACUCCCAGCUACUCAGUGAGGUGGUAGCUAGAGACGGAGUCUUGCUAUGUUGCCCAGGCUGGUCUUGAACUCCUCACCUCAAGCGAUCCUCUCGUCUUGGCCUCCCAAGUGUCAGGAUUACAGGCAUGUGCUAUCACACCCAACCUGAUACAUUGCCUUUAUAAAUUUUUUUUUCUUUAUUCUAAAAACCAGAAAAAACAAAACUGGAUACAUGUGCAGAACAUGCAGGUUUGUUACAUAGCUGUACGUGUGCCAUGGUGGUUUGCUGCACCUAUUGACCUAUCCUGUAAGUUCCCUCCCCUCACCCCCACCCCCCAACAGCCCU
Molecule: non-coding RNA, 800 nt
Filed under: Pan troglodytes (chimpanzee)
Lineage: Eukaryota; Metazoa; Chordata; Mammalia; Primates; Hominidae
Source: RNAcentral